RNAcentral lists this ribosomal RNA (253 nucleotides) under uncultured bacterium. Its description in RNAcentral is "partial 16S ribosomal RNA". It matches the Rfam family "Bacterial small subunit ribosomal RNA", at positions 524 to 776 of the family's 1533-position model. The record is from RNAcentral.
UACGGGGGGGGCAAGCGUUGUUCGGAAUUACUGGGCGUAAAGGGCUCGUAGGCGGCCAACUAAGUCAGACGUGAAAUCCCUCGGCUUAACCGGGGAACUGCCUCUGAUACUGGUUGGCUUGAGAUUGGGAGAGGGAUGCGGAAUUCCAGGUGUAGCGGUGAAAUGCGUAGAUAUCUGGAGGAACACCGGUGGCGAAGGCGGCAUCCUGGACCAACACUGACGCUGAGGAGCGAAAGCCAGGGGAGCAAACGGG